UACGUAGGUGGCAAGCGUUAUCCGGAUUUAUUGGGCGUAAAGGGAACGCAGGCGGUCUUCUAAGUCUGAUGUGAAAGCCUUCGGCUUAACCGGAGUAGUGCAUUGGAAACUGGGAGACUUGAGUGCAGAAGAGGAGAGUGGAACUCCAUGUGUAGCGGUGAAAUGCGUAGAUAUAUGGAAGAACACCAGUGGCGAAAGCGGCUCUCUGGUCUGUAACUGACGCUGAGGUUCGAAAGCGUGGGUAGCAAACAGG
This 253-nucleotide ribosomal RNA is filed under the name uncultured bacterium. RNAcentral describes it as "partial 16S ribosomal RNA". It matches the Rfam family "Bacterial small subunit ribosomal RNA", at positions 524 to 776 of the family's 1533-position model. The record is from RNAcentral.